GCUGUGGCUCAGUGGAAGAGCAUUUGUUUUGCAUGCAGAAGGUCCCAGGUUCAAUCCCCAGCAUCUCCA
Podarcis lilfordi (Lilford's wall lizard) is the source of this 69-nucleotide non-coding RNA. Lineage: Eukaryota; Metazoa; Chordata; Lepidosauria; Squamata; Lacertidae. The record is from the annotation of a GenBank genome assembly.